Molecule: non-coding RNA, 29 nt
Filed under: Homo sapiens (human)
Lineage: Eukaryota; Metazoa; Chordata; Mammalia; Primates; Hominidae
Source: RNAcentral
CAGAAGGCAAAAGGCACGUCUUACAUGGU